GACAUACUACAAUUCUAGCCUUAUGAUAUAUUACAAAAAAAAGUUGAGUCCUCGACGAGUCAUCGCGAGUGCAAAUGCACGAGUCCGAGUCCAAGUUCGAGUCAACAG
This is a long non-coding RNA of Alosa sapidissima (American shad), 108 nucleotides long. RefSeq lists it as uncharacterized. The transcript has 3 exons. The record is from RefSeq and is a predicted model, not a curated record. Lineage: Eukaryota; Metazoa; Chordata; Actinopteri; Clupeiformes; Clupeidae.